Molecule: ribosomal RNA, 387 nt
Filed under: uncultured bacterium
Lineage: Bacteria
Description: partial 16S ribosomal RNA
Rfam family: Bacterial small subunit ribosomal RNA
Source: RNAcentral
UGGGGAAUAUUGCACAAUGGGCGAAAGCCUGAUGCAGCAACGCCGCGUGAGUGAUGAAGGUCUUCGGAUUGUAAAGCUCUGUCUUUUGGGACGAUAAUGACGGUACCAAAGGAGGAAGCCACGGCUAACUACGUGCCAGCAGCCGCGGUAAUACGUAGGUGGCGAGCGUUGUCCGGAUUUACUGGGCGUAAAGGGUGCGUAGGCGGAUGUUUAAGUGAGAUGUGAAAUACCCGGGCUUAACUUGGGUGCUGCAUUUCAAACUGGAUAUCUAGAGUGCAGGAGAGGAGAAUGGAAUUCCUAGUGUAGCGGUGAAAUGCGUAGAGAUUAGGAAGACACCAGUGGCGAAGGCGAUUCUCUGGACUGUAACUGACGCUGAGGCACGAAAGU